GACCAUCACCAUGAAGCACCUGACAGGCGGGAUCAUCGCCGUCAUCGUGGUGGUGGUGCUGGCUGUGAUUGCUGGCCUGCUGGCUGUGUUCUUUUUCCAGAAGCGACAGAGGAAGUACAAAAAAACUCAGCAAAGAGAGAUGGAGCAAAUGUAAAGCAGAGAGAGUGUGACGAGUCGACGCAUACAAUCGCCUUUUUUGGAUUACCUUGUUUUUUUUUCUUCGCUGUGGGAGCGUGCCAUUUUUAUCUUUUGAGACUUGCAGAUUGUAAAUGAAUAAUCGCCUUUUUUCUUUGUUGGGGUGUCAUUACUGCUACAAUUUAUUUAUAAAUCAUGUAAAGUCUUAAAGCAUCAUCCCUCUGGUCUACAUGCCAUAUAAGUACUGUGCAUUUUUAAAGUGUGCCUGACAUGCCUCAUUUUAACAUUAGAAUUUAAAUUCCACAUCAUAGAGUGUACAGUUUCUUACUUUCUAUUGUGUUUGUUUGGAUUGUUUUUAAUAAAACAUGCUUUAAAAGACA
Molecule: long non-coding RNA, 515 nt
Organism: Pundamilia nyererei
Lineage: Eukaryota; Metazoa; Chordata; Actinopteri; Cichliformes; Cichlidae
Exons: 3
Source: RefSeq, a predicted model, not a curated record